CAGCAGCCGCGGGAAUACGAAGGGUGCAAGCGUUACUCGGAAUUACUGGGCGUAAAGCGUGCGUAGGUGGUGGUUUAAGUCCGUUGUGAAAGCCCUGGGCUCAACCUGGGAAUUGCAGUGGAUACUGGGCGACUAGAGUAAGGUAGAGGAUAGUGGAAUUUCCGGUGUAGCAGUGAAAUGCGUAGAGAUCGGAAGGAACAUCUGUGGCGAAGGCGACUAUCUGGGCCAACACUGACACUGAGGCGCGAAAGCGUGGGGAGCAAACAGGAUUAGAUACCCCGGUAGUCCCUGUCUCUUAUAC
This 301-nucleotide ribosomal RNA is filed under the name uncultured bacterium. Its description in RNAcentral is "partial 16S ribosomal RNA". It matches the Rfam family "Bacterial small subunit ribosomal RNA", at positions 509 to 807 of the family's 1533-position model. The record is from RNAcentral.